Long non-coding RNA from Salarias fasciatus (jewelled blenny), 2526 nucleotides. RefSeq lists it as uncharacterized. The record is from RefSeq and is a predicted model, not a curated record. Lineage: Eukaryota; Metazoa; Chordata; Actinopteri; Blenniiformes; Blenniidae. The transcript has 6 exons.
AAUUUAACUGUGGAUUUAACUAAUAGAGUUGUGCCGUUUGUCUCUAACCAGGCACAGUAAUAAAACUUUGCUUGUCACCUGGAAGAAGAAUACAAAACAAGUGUUGUACUUUGUACUGCGUUUGUGUGUCAGCUGCCUGUAGUUUGUUUCCAGCAGAGUGGAAAAAUAACAGCUGAUCAUAAUGAAUGAACUGAAACCCAGUGAGUUCCACAGUAAAGGAGUCCAGUCAGCUGAACCUCAGUCACAAACAAUCAGAUUUAAGAUUUAAUGCAUCAGCAAUAACCCAAUAAUAAUAUAAAGAUAUCUGGGUGUUUCAUAUCUUGUCUGAGCAUGUUGUGUUUGUAGAAAUGAUAUACUGUUACAGCUUCUGCCGUGUUGCUUGUAGUGUGUGCACGUGUGUGCGCGUGCACGUGUGUGGCUGGUUUCUCCCUCUGCUUCACCUUCAGGCUCUCCAGGAUUGGAUAACUGAAUUAUUGACUGGAGCACCAGACCUUCUGGGAGAGCAUGCCAGCCUCCAGUCAAUCAUCCAAUCAGAAGCGGCCAUGGGAGGAGCCUCCUCUUCUGAUGGCCAACAAAGACGCCCUCCUGGAGUAUGCCCGCCUCUUUCCUGCUAUGGUGGCAGCAAUAGCAGGAAAGAGGACCACAGGCAUCGACGCUGAAGGUGGUCAGGUGGUGGGCUUCGGCGCAUACAGCUUCCUGACCUACAGGGAGCUGUACGAGACUGUGGACGAGGAGAUCAGCAGCUACAGGAAGUGGAUGAGACAGCUGCCUGUGAAGAAUGCAAACUCCUGACUUGCUCGGUUGAAGAGAUUCAUCCUCAGCAGGGACAAGGAGCAGCAGUCGGUCACUGCUGCUUCUCCAGCUGCCGCGUCCGCCUCCGCUGCCUCCGCUGCUUCUCCAGCUGCACCCUCCACUUCAACAUCAUCUUACCAGCAUCCUCGGCCGUCUUCAUCCACCCCGAGGAAGAGGAGGUUCAACGUCCUGUCAAGUUCCUCUGAGGAUGAAGACCAGAUGAUGUUUGAAGCUGCUGCUGCUGCUGAGCAGAUCAUCGCUGCAUCAGUAUCUCCACCUGCUGCAACAGGAGGAGCUCCAGCCACACCUCCACCUCCACCUGCUGCUUGUUACUCUGAAGGCAGCUGCAGUAGUUCACACAGAGGUGUGAAGACGACCGUCUCCGUCACUCUGCCGACAGCCCCGUUCUCUUCAAGGCUCCAGCCGAAGGCCCUGCAGGGGGCGGGCCUCCCUCUCAGGGACGUCAAAGGAGCUGACACCUGAUUGGAGAAGACGUGGAGAGAUGGAAGACCAGGUGAAGAGGGACGGGGCUCUGCGGGCCUGGAGAAGGGAGGAGGUCCAUAAAUGGAGGGCUGACAGGAAGUCCUACAUCCCUCCACCUGCACUGAGGUUCCAAAAACCCUUUUGGCCUCCUGUGCUGAAGAGGACAAGGAAGGAAAGGCCGUCUGCCCCGGUCGACCCGACUCCUCCCGUGUCUCCGGACCCGCAGCCAGGGAACUCCAGAGGCAACACUGCUGCCUCCCUGUGCACGGCCUGCGGGCAGCCCACCUCUGUCCCCGGACACUUUGUCCACAGGGACAAGACACAUUGCAGGUCCACCUCUGGCGGGCUCAGCCUGGAGGAGUGGAUCAGAAGAAAUGUGUCCAGGGCCACUCGGUGGAGGUGGAAGGCACAUGCGAAGGAGGCUGGCAAACCCAAGGUGAAGCAGCCUCGCAAACUUAAGACUUGCAGCCGCUGUCAGCAGAGGAUGCUGCGGGAGACGGGGCACAGCAACCACAAUGAGUCCAAGCAGACUUUUUGUCAGAACACUGACCCGCUUGGGAGGACAGUGGAGCAGUGGCUGACGGAGACGAGGGGUGGGGAAACAAAUGAAGACCUCUACCAGAGGAACUUACAAACGUGGGCCCGCAAAAAGGACAAGAAGGUAGAAAAAAGGGGGGACUCUGCCUCUGAGACCCACCAUACCCCUCCUCCUCCUCCUCGUUCUCCACAGCCAGGGACCUCCAGGGACAAAACUGCAGCCUCAGUGUGCGCUGAAAGGCCACCUCUGUCUCUGGGCACUUUGUCCACAGGGACAAAACAUACUGCAGGUCCACAUCCGGUGGGCUCACCCUGGAGGGCUGGAUGAAGAGCAAUGUGCCCAGAACCACCAGGUGGCGGUGGAAAGUUCAGCAGGAGGCCAGCCACCUCCAGGUCCCAACGCCUCGCAAGCAGAGGACCUGCAGGACCUGCAACCUGCGGAUGCUGAGGGCGACGGGCCACAGCAUGCACAAAGAAACAAAGAAGACAUUUUGCCAGGAAACCGACCCCUCGGGGAGGACAGUGGAGCAGUGGCUCACCGAGGGCCGUGGGGGGGUCACAACCAAGGACAUUUGAAAAGAUAGGGCCAGUACAAACUGCAGGGAGAACACAGAGGAAGAGGGCAUAUUUAAAAAAACUGUUUGAGUUAUUUUCAUUUCCUUGUGUUUGUUUGCGGUUGUUUCUAAUUGUUUCAAAUUUUACAUACAUUCCUUA